CUCUCCUUCCUUCAUCCCCGGCCUGCGCCAGCUGGAUCGGGUCCCCAUGUCCUCACCCAGGGAGACCUAUCGGCCGCUCUCUCUCUCUCUCUCUGCAAGACAUGAGGCAAUCAAGUUCUCCUCGGUGAGAAGGUCCACACGAACCUCCAGGGCCGGUGGCAGUCUAUCCUGCAAGACCACAUUCUGGGGAGCCCAAGAGGAAAGAGGGGAGCAUGGAGGGGGGGCUUUCCCCGAGGCAGGCGGUGGGGCAGGGAGGGGCCCGUUGCCAGGAUACGCAGGAGGGUUGCCGUAACAAAGGGGGGGGGUUCUCGGCGGAAUGUCCACCUCUGGGCUCAACGGUCAGUUGUCCAUUGGAGCCUCUCUUGGAUGGUGGUGUGAAGGGGGUGCUCUGUGGGUCACACCCGUGUUUUAGCAUUUCGCCGGACCGUUACCAGCCCCUAAGCAUGUUUUUGAGGCUGAGGAAAUGGGUUUCGAACACCCGGAGACCCUCCAGAAAGGGAGACGAAGAGUUGUCGCCACCACCCACUUUGGCGCAGCCGAAGAGGAUCUUUGGAAAGGGGCAGGAGGAGAUGGACUCCUCUCGGAAAGAGAUGAGGGGGUUACUCAGUGAAGACCCCCGCACCCCUCUUGGGGGGUCGGGGGGUUACUCAGCGAAGACCCCCGCACCCCUCUUGGGGGGUCCGCGACCAGAAUCACUUCAUGGUGGGUGCUGAAGCCAGGGAUGCUGUGCGGCUAAAUAUCUCCCCCCCCCAGCCCCUGGGAUUCCUCCCUGGGACCCACGGAGUUUCAGCCGGGUCGGGUGGUGGAGCGUCCACGCCAGGGGCUACCAGGACCGCUCGGACAGGCCCCAGCGAAGACCCCCGCACCCCUCUUGGGGGGUCCGCGACCAGAAUCACUUCAUGGUGGGUGCUGAAGCCAGGGAUGCUGUGCGGCUAAAUAUCUCCCCCCCCCAGCCCCUGGGAUUCCUCCCUGGGACCCACGGAGUUUCAGCCGGGUCGGGUGGUGGAGCGUCCACGCCAGGGGCUACCAGGACCGCUCGGACAGGCCCCACGGCAAAUCGGAUCCUGGCCCUGGGCUCCCGUCCUCACCAUUUCCCCCCCCUUUUUCUCUUCCAGGAGAAGAUGGGUUUGGGUCCUGAAGGGACACUCCAGGGGGCCGAGACAGCAGCGGACCCCUCAGGGGAAGCGGGGGGCCCAAUUUGGGAGGCGGCAGAAGGAGGCGGAGGCGUCCCCAAAAAGCCCGUUGGGGAUACUUGUCGAAGAAGAGGAAGAUGAUGGCGAGCAAAGCCUGGACAGAGGAUGGACAUUAAACGGACCAAGAUCGAGAUCACCAUCGUCCUUGUCAAGAGAGAAGCCGUCCUCCCUUCAUCGGUCCGAUCCGGAGACGCGUAUGUUUGUGUGUUUGUUUGUCUGUGUGCGUUUUGGACAGAUAAUUAUGCACGGCAACAAGAGGAAAGGAUGAGACUUUGUUAACCGCUGUCGGUUAAGAAAAUAAAAUAAAUUGCCUGAAUAAAUAAAUAAACGGU
Molecule: long non-coding RNA, 1525 nt
Filed under: Pogona vitticeps (central bearded dragon)
Lineage: Eukaryota; Metazoa; Chordata; Lepidosauria; Squamata; Agamidae
Description: lncRNA (ENSPVIG00000007468.1)
Source: RNAcentral